RNAcentral lists this small RNA (544 nucleotides) under Pongo abelii (Sumatran orangutan). Its description in RNAcentral is "processed transcript". The record is from RNAcentral. Lineage: Eukaryota; Metazoa; Chordata; Mammalia; Primates; Hominidae.
AGUGGCGUUCGGCGGGACCCGCUGAGGCAAAGCGGAGCCGCAGUGACAGAAGCAAGCGGAGCGGCCGCCAGGAAGGACUCACCGAGGCGCAGGGGCUGGAGGUGGUGCUGGGGGAAAAUGGAAAAGAAGACAAAGAGAGGAAAUGGAACUUAACUGAAGUGAAAGAGCUUCAUGAGACUUUACAGAGUGUGCCAGAUGUUCCUGUAAAAGAGGCCACCAACAAUGUGGUGGAGAAAGCAAUGGAUGAAAUCAAAUCCCAAGAGUAUCCAAGAUGAAGGAGAAUGUUAAACAGAAUAGAAAACAAAGAGAAAGCAUAGACAAAAUCAAAGUCAAGGUGGCCAACACACGGAAACAGGCUCUGCAGGAGCAAUUCGAUGAAUGGAUUCUAGACCCUAAAGGAAUGAUUCCUAAAUCAGUGUUGCAGAUUCAGAAUGUUCUUCAUGAAUUCUUUCAAAAUCCAGAUUUCAAGCUUGGAUCACACUGCAAACAACUGGAUAUUACUGACUCAACAGAACCAAGAUUGAAUAAAAUGGAAUUUACAGAA